AUUCGAUUAGAGUUUGAUCCUGGCUCAGAUUGAACGCUGGCGGCAGGCUUAACACAUGCAAGUCGAGCGGUAGCACAGGGGAGCUUGCUCCCCGGGUGACGAGCGGCGGACGGGUGAGUAAUGUCUGGGAAACUGCCUGAUGGAGGGGGAUAACUACUGGAAACGGUAGCUAAUACCGCAUAACGUCGCAAGACCAAAGAGGGGGACCUUCGGGCCUCUUGCCAUCAGAUGUGCCCAGAUGGGAUUAGCUAGUAGGUGGGGUAAUGGCUCACCUAGGCGACGAUCCCUAGCUGGUCUGAGAGGAUGACCAGCCACACUGGAACUGAGACACGGUCCAGACUCCUACGGGAGGCAGCAGUGGGGAAUAUUGCACAAUGGGCGCAAGCCUGAUGCAGCCAUGCCGCGUGUGUGAAGAAGGCCUUCGGGUUGUAAAGCACUUUCAGCGAGGAGGAAGGUGGUGAACUUAAUACGUUCAUCAAUUGACGUUACUCGCAGAAGAAGCACCGGCUAACUCCGUGCCAGCAGCCGCGGUAAUACGGAGGGUGCAAGCGUUAAUCGGAAUUACUGGGCGUAAAGCGCACGCAGGCGGUUUGUUAAGUCAGAUGUGAAAUCCCCGGGCUCAACCUGGGAACUGCAUUUGAAACUGGCAAGCUAGAGUCUCGUAGAGGGGGGUAGAAUUCCAGGUGUAGCGGUGAAAUGCNUAAAGAUCUCGGAGAAUACCGGUGGCGAAGGCGGCCCCCUGGACNAANACUGACGCUUCAGUGCGAAAACCUUGGGAGCCAACAGGAUUUAAUACCCUGGUAGUCCACGCUGAAAACCA
Molecule: ribosomal RNA, 820 nt
Filed under: uncultured Serratia sp.
Lineage: Bacteria; Pseudomonadati; Pseudomonadota; Gammaproteobacteria; Enterobacterales; Yersiniaceae
Description: bacterial SSU rRNA
Rfam family: Bacterial small subunit ribosomal RNA
Source: RNAcentral